RNAcentral lists this ribosomal RNA (497 nucleotides) under uncultured bacterium. RNAcentral describes it as "partial 16S ribosomal RNA". It matches the Rfam family "Bacterial small subunit ribosomal RNA", at positions 28 to 507 of the family's 1533-position model. The record is from RNAcentral.
GAUGAACGCUGGCGGCGUGCCUAAUACAUGCAAGUCGAGCGAACAGACGAGGAGCUUGCUCCCCUGACGUUAGCGGCGGACGGGUGAGUAACACGUGGAUAACCUACCUAUAAGACUGGGAUAACUUCGGGAAACCGGAGCUAAUACCGGAUAAUAUAUUGAACCGCAUGGUUCAAUAGUGAAAGACGGUUUUGCUGUCACUUAUAGAUGGAUCCGCGCCGCAUUAGCUAGUUGGUAAGGUAACGGCUUACCAAGGCAACGAUGCGUAGCCGACCUGAGAGGGUGAUCGGCCACACUGGAACUGAGACACGGUCCAGACUCCUACGGGAGGCAGCAGUAGGGAAUCUUCCGCAAUGGGCGAAAGCCUGACGGAGCGACGCCGCGUGAGUGAUGAAGGUCUUCGGAUCGUAAAACUCUGUUAUUAGGGAAGAACAAAUGUGUAAGUAACUAUGCACGUCUUGACGGUACCUAAUCAGAAAGCCACGGCUAACUACGUG